GACAGAGGUGCCGAGCGUUAGGCGGAAUCACUGGGCUUAAAGCGUGUGUAGGCGGGGCGUUAAGUACCUUGUGAAAUCCCCCGGCUUAACCGGGGAACUGCUGGGUAUACUGGCGACCUUGAGCAAUCCAGGGGCGAGCGGAACAAGCGGUGGGGCGGUGAAAUGCGUAGAUAUCGCUUGGAACGCCGACGGUGAAAACAGCUCGCUGGGGAUUCGCUGACGCUGAGACACGAAAGCCAGGGGAGCAAACGGG
This 253-nucleotide ribosomal RNA is filed under the name uncultured bacterium. RNAcentral's name for it is "partial 16S ribosomal RNA". It matches the Rfam family "Bacterial small subunit ribosomal RNA", at positions 524 to 776 of the family's 1533-position model. The record is from RNAcentral.